Long non-coding RNA from Peromyscus eremicus (cactus mouse), 2192 nucleotides. RefSeq lists it as uncharacterized. The transcript has 2 exons. The record is from RefSeq and is a predicted model, not a curated record. Lineage: Eukaryota; Metazoa; Chordata; Mammalia; Rodentia; Cricetidae.
GGAAAUCAGUACAGGAUCUUAGGACACGCCUUGAACAGAGACCCACAGACCAUCCCUUUGGUCUUCGCCAAGAGGAUGGUUAAUGCUAAAGACUUGUUAGAUUGUAUGUGGCAGAGAAAACGGGAGGCGGGGGGACUGGAGCAUGAAAAAGUGAGGGUCCACAGCCAGCGCACACCUCAAUAUACUCUUCUGAUACAUCUCACUUCUGCUCGCUUGCUCUCCCCCGUUCCUAGAUGCUUCCAUUCACUACUAGAUAAGGUGAACUUAUCCAGCGGUGACCAGAAAGCCUUAGUGCUUAGCUGUUUUUGAAAGGUCAAUGAACUGAGAUCCAACUCUGCAUCGGAGACUGGUGACUAAGGUAUAGUGUGUAUUAACCACUAAGUAUAAGCCUGAGGUGGUGGCAUAUGCCUGUGGUAAUCCCAAAACUAAAGAGAUUGAAGCAGGAGGAUUGCCUCGAGUUUAAGCUUGGGGUACAUGUCUAGAACCUGCCUUUUAAAAAGAGCAGAGCCAAGCGCGGUGGCAUAUGCCUGUAUCGAAGAACUCGGAGGUUUGCAAACUGAACCUAGAGGAUCACCACUGGUCUGGAGCCGAGCUGAGCUACACGGUAAGAUACAAUCAUCUGGGCUACAUAAGACCUUGUCACAAAACAAACAAACGCAAGCAGGGGCAUCCAAAUUUGACAUACUGUUCUCCUGACCCUCCAAACUGUCCCCAGACUGCACUCUGGCAUCUUCACUUUACCAACAGAAAAACAGGACCACAGAGAUUAAGUAGUCUGCCCAAAGUCACAAAGCUGGUACUAGCGAUAGCACUAACUGGUCACUAACUACUGGUGGAGCGACGCCUACAUGUUGAAAUAAAGUCCUCGUCACCGCUCACUACCGUCAUAUGGGGAAAAUUUGGAAGAAAAAUGUUCCAGAUAAACGACAUAAAUCCCUCUUCCUCAUGUAAAGUCUACUCAGUAAUCAAGUAGAUUUGACUACAAAACUAGGCUAGCACAAUGUCCCAGUCUUCCGGGCCAAACCACGGAUUAAACAGCUCUGUCACCUGUUGCCUGAGUUUCCCAAGUUCUCUCUGCACACGCUCCACAAGGGUUACUGCUUCUUCGCCACUCUCUGGGCGCAACUCCUGCACCCUGCUCUGAAUCUCUUGGGGAAGGAUAGUCAAGAACUGCUCCAGCACCAAUAGCUCCAGUAUCUGCUCCUUGGUGCGCAACUCCGGCCGUAGCCACCCAUGGCAAAGCUCCUGAAGCUGGCUAAGGGCCUCUCGGGGACCAGAGGCCUCUUGAAAGCGGAACCGUCGAAAACGCAGGUGGGAGGCCUCCGGGCUGGAGUCUGGGUCCGGCGGGGGUACCUCCUGGCUCCAGGUGCUGUCCUCCUCCAGUUUCACUAUCAGGAGCCCUUCCGGCUCCUGGGAGCCCGGACCAGCAGCCAUGCUCAAUGCCCCCAGAGUGCCUGGGUCGCCUCGAAAGACGCCCUACGUUCCGUCCAACAGUAGAGCACGACCGCAGUAGCCGAGAGGGCCGGGGCUCCAAAUCCCGCCGGAAGAACCCAGUUCGAAGUCUGGCAAUAGCCCGGCAGCGUCUCCACCUGACCGGCUUCUCAGGCUCGCACAGAAUUUAGCCCUCAACGGCCGCGGCGGAAGUUUCAGCGCGCGAGUUAGGCGUCAUAAGCCAACGGCCGCUCGUCGGGACGGACUUCCGGUUCACGCUUUGCUUACUCUGUCUCCCAUUGGGUCGGGUCUCGCCACGUACUCACUGCCGACUCACGACAGGGGAAAAAAAUUUGCAUCGAAGAGCGGGAGGAGACACUGGCCAUGUGUUGAUGAGAGGCGGGACUACGGAGUGGGCGAGGCAGCCAGCUCAAGUCUAUGGCUGUGACUGUCAUUCGAAAGGAAGAAAAGAAGGAAACACCAGGAGGGCUCCCUUCUCUUUUGAAGAGAGACUGCCCAGGCCUGAGACUGGAGCAUGCCUGUGACAGCUCAUGGAGUCCGCAGAUCCUAGGAGUGUGUCGCGAAAACCAGUAAUAAUGAACACAUACAUGAAAUAGGACCUUCACUGUAUUGUAUGAAGGAGGCUCUAUUAUAAGUCCUGUGAUUGUGGCAUUGAGUGUCAGUUAAGUGUGUGCCCAAGAUCACACAGCUAUCCUAUCGCAAAAGCUUAGGCUGAGGAAAUAAAAAUGGUCUGUUUUGGA